AAAAAGGCAAACCCUAGAUUUGCGUGUCCAACUUUGACUGUCCGUCUUAUAUGAAAUUUUUUUAUAAUUUGUAUUUUUAUUGUUGUUAGAUGAUAAAACAUGAUUAAUAUUUUAUGCGUGACUUGUCUUUUUAAUUUUUUUCAUAAUUUUUUCAAAUAGGACGAACGGUCAAACAUUGGGCACGGAAACCAGGGUUUGUCUUUUU
This 205-nucleotide microRNA precursor is filed under the name Oryza barthii. RNAcentral describes it as "MIR812 microRNA precursor family". It matches the Rfam family "MIR812 microRNA precursor family". The record is from Rfam by way of RNAcentral. Lineage: Eukaryota; Viridiplantae; Streptophyta; Magnoliopsida; Poales; Poaceae.